UUUUUUUUUUUUUUUCUAAUCUCAAAUCAAUAGAAGAAAAAUUGAACAUAAAAUAUAUGCUUUUGUUUCUUUUUGGUUAUGAGACUUCUGUACAAUUGAUUUCCCCUUUUGUAUAACAUUCUUCACCUUUAUUUGGUUUCUCCGUCUCUUCAUCAUGCCUUUGAAUAAAGAAGAAAGCCCAUAUAAAGGAAGAGGCCCUUUGCUUCUUGUGAAGUCAAUGGUGCCCCUUUCUCUCUUGAAGUUGGAGAACAAAACUAUGGUUUCUGGGACAAUUUGAUUGGCAAGCCAUUCUGGGGAAGGGCAAAAGGGCCAUACUGAAUCCCAUUGUCUGAACCCACCAUAGACCAUCUGUACUUAGUGGUCAGGUGAUGGAGGAGGACCAAAAUCUCCAGCUUAGCUAACUCAUUCCCCGGACAUGAAUGUGUCCCAUUGCCAAAUGGCAUGAAAGUAUUGGGCUUCGGUGCAACCUCAAAUCUUGUAGGAUCAAACUUUUCAGGAUCUGGAAAGAUUUCUGGGUUAUGGUGAAUGUUUCUGAAAAGCGGCAAAACUUUCCAUCCUUUUGGGAUCAAAUACCCUUGAUACUCAACAUCCUCAACAGCCUCUCUGAAUGUAAAAGACAAAAUUGAAGCAACUCUCAGUGUCUCUUGAAUCACCCUUGAAGUAAUUGGCAUCUUCUUGGUAUCUGCCCAACUGAGAAGCUUCUCCUCACCACAGUUCUCUUUACUGGCUGCUAUGUCCUCUUGCUCUUCGAUGACAGCUUGAAGGACACCGGGGUUUUCUCCAAGGUACUUGAGAAUCCAUGUUAGAACACUAGCUGUUGUGUCACGAGCUGCAAAGAUAACACCUAUAAUGUUAUCGGCGAUUUGUUCGUCAGUGAGGCCUUCCCUGUCACCCAUGAAAGAUCCAAGCAGGUCGUUUUGAUGAAGAUUCAUUUCCCUUCUGCUAGAGAGAAUUUUGGCUAAGAUCUGAGAAAGCUCUUUUCUUGCUUUCAUGGAUUUGUUGAAGAGUGUCCCUGGUAGAUUAAUGGGCAUUGAAUUGUAUCCUUUCUCAAGAAUGUAGUAACAUCUCUUCAGAUCUUCUCUGUAUAGAGACUCUUCUUUUCCAAAUAUUGAAAGCAGUGCAACGUUGAACGUGAAUGUUUUCAUUUCUUGGAAAGUGUUGACAAUUCUUCCUUCCCAAGAUUUAAGAGAGUCUUUUGCAAUGGAUUCGAUGUCAGAGACAAUGUUUUUGAUCGAUUCAGGUACGAAAGCACGAAGAACAAGUCUUCUCAAUUGGGCAUGGUAGUCUCCUUGGUGAAAGAAGAUGGCUUGUUUGCCUAACAUCCUUUCUUUACUUGCUGGAAAUGUUGGCUUGAAGAGAUGAGCUCUCGUUACAAGCACGAAUCUUGCAGCUUCUGGACUUGAAAUCAUUACACAAGGACAACCCAAGAUGUGGGUCUUGAAGACAGAGCCAAACCUCUUCUGUUUAGAGGCAAAAAAGACAUUUGGGUUUUGAGAAUAGAGUUGGAAGGUUUCGCCAAUGUAAGGCCAACCCAAUGAGCCAGGAGGGAGAGGCAAAGUCCGG
Molecule: unclassified non-coding RNA, 1563 nt
Filed under: Hevea brasiliensis (rubber tree)
Lineage: Eukaryota; Viridiplantae; Streptophyta; Magnoliopsida; Malpighiales; Euphorbiaceae
Source: RNAcentral